AGUGAACGCUGGCGGUAGGCCUAACACAUGCAAGUCGAACGGCAGCACAGUAAGAGCUUGCUCUUACGGGUGGCGAGUGGCGGACGGGUGAGGAAUACAUCGGAAUCUACUUUUUCGUGGGGGAUAACGUAGGGAAACUUACGCUAAUACCGCAUACGACCUACGGGUGAAAGCAGAGGAUCUUCGGACCUUGCGCGAUUGUGUGAGCCGGUGUCGGAUUAGCUAGUUGGCGGGGUAAAGGCCCACCAAGGCGACGAAGCGUAGCUGGUCUGAGAGGAUGGCCAGCAACACGGGACCUGAGACACGGCCCUGAGUACUACGGGAGGCAGCGGUACGCAAUAGUAGACAAUGGGCGCAAGCCUGUAACAGCCAUACCGCGUGGGUGAAGAAGGGCUUCGUGUUGGACAGCGCUGUUGUUGGGAAAGAAAAGCAGCAGGUUAAUACACCGCUGUUCUGACGGUACCCAAAGAGUAAGCACCGGCUAACUUCGUG
RNAcentral lists this ribosomal RNA (492 nucleotides) under uncultured bacterium. RNAcentral's name for it is "partial 16S ribosomal RNA". It matches the Rfam family "Bacterial small subunit ribosomal RNA", at positions 29 to 507 of the family's 1533-position model. The record is from RNAcentral.